UACGUAGGGGGCAAGCGUUGUCCGGAUUUAUUGGGCGUAAAGAGCGUGUAGGCGGUCCGGUAAGUCCGCUGUGAAAGUCGGGGGCUCAACCCUCGAAUGCCGGUGGAUACUGUCGGGCUAGAGUGCGGAAGAGGCGAGUGGAAUUCCUGGUGUAGCGGUGAAAUGCGCAGAUAUCAGGAGGAACACCUAUUGCGAAGGCAGCUCGCUGGGACGUUACUGACGCUGAGACGCGAAAGCGUGGGGAGCAAACAGG
RNAcentral lists this ribosomal RNA (253 nucleotides) under uncultured bacterium. RNAcentral's name for it is "partial 16S ribosomal RNA". It matches the Rfam family "Bacterial small subunit ribosomal RNA", at positions 524 to 776 of the family's 1533-position model. The record is from RNAcentral.